UCGGGAAGGUGGCCACAGGAGAUCAUGGUGGGUCCUCACCACCCGUCUCCUAAUAUUACCUACAG
RNAcentral lists this microRNA precursor (65 nucleotides) under Mus spretus (western wild mouse). Its description in RNAcentral is "microRNA 7037 (ENSMSPG00010041123.1)". The record is from RNAcentral. Lineage: Eukaryota; Metazoa; Chordata; Mammalia; Rodentia; Muridae.